AUAAUGGGUCAGCGACUUAUAUUCUGUAGCAAGGUUAACCGAAUAGGGGAGCCGAAGGGAAACCGAGUCUUAACUGGGCGUUAAGUUGCAGGGUAUAGACCCGAAACCCGGUGAUCUAGCCAUGGGCAGGUUGAAGGUUGGGUAACACUAACUGGAGGACCGAACCGACUAAUGUUGAAAAAUUAGCGGAUGACUUGUGGCUGGGGGUGAAAGGCCAAUCAAACCGGGAGAUAGCUGGUUCUCCCCGAAAGCUAUUUAGGUAGCGCCUCGUGAAUUCAUCUCCGGGGGUAGAGCACUGUUUCGGCAAGGGGGUCAUCCCGACUUACCAACCCGAUGCAAACUGCGAAUACCGGAGAAUGUUAUCACGGGAGACACACGGCGGGUGCUAACGUCCGUCGUGAAGAGGGAAACAACCCAGACCGCCAGCUAAGGUCCCAAAGUCAUGGUUAAGUGGGAAACGAUGUGGGAAGGCCCAGACAGCCAGGAUGUUGGCUUAGAAGCAGCCAUCAUUUAAAGAAAGCGUAAUAGCUCACUGGUCGAGUCGGCCUGCGCGGAAGAUGUAACGGGGCUAAACCAUGCACCGAAGCUGCGGCAGCGACGCUGAUGCGUUGUUGGGUAGGGGAGCGUU
RNAcentral lists this ribosomal RNA (628 nucleotides) under Escherichia coli. Its description in RNAcentral is "partial 23S ribosomal RNA". It matches the Rfam family "Bacterial large subunit ribosomal RNA", at positions 612 to 1240 of the family's 2925-position model. The record is from RNAcentral. Lineage: Bacteria; Pseudomonadati; Pseudomonadota; Gammaproteobacteria; Enterobacterales; Enterobacteriaceae.